Molecule: ribosomal RNA, 253 nt
Filed under: uncultured bacterium
Lineage: Bacteria
Description: partial 16S ribosomal RNA
Rfam family: Bacterial small subunit ribosomal RNA
Source: RNAcentral
UACGUAGGGGGCAAGCGUUGUCCGGAUUUAUUGGGCGUAAAGAGCUCGUAGGCGGUUCCGUAAGUCGGGUGUGAAAAAUCUGGGCUCAACCCAGUGGAGCACCCGAUACUGCGGUGACUCGAGUCCGGUAGGGGAGUGUGGAAUUCCUGGUGUAGCGGUGAAAUGCGCAGAUAUCAGGAGGAACACCGACGGCGAAGGCGGCAUCCUGGACCGGUAUUGACGCUGAGGCGCGAAAGCCAGGGGAGCAAACGGG